GACGAACGCUGGCGGCGUGCUUAACACAUGCAAGUCGAACGGAAAGGCCUUGCUUUUGUGGGGUGCUCGAGUGGCGAACGGGUGAGUAACACGUGAGUAACCUGCCCUUGACUUUGGGAUAACUUCAGGAAACUGGGGCUAAUACCGGAUAGGAGCUCCUGCUGCAUGGUGGGGGUUGGAAAGUUUCGGCGGUUGGGGAUGGACUCGCGGCUUAUCAGCUUGUUGGUGGGGUAGUGGCUUACCAAGGCUUUGACGGGUAGCCGGCCUGAGAGGGUGACCGGCCACAUUGGGACUGAGAUACGGCCCAGACUCCUACGGGAGGCAGCAGUGGGGAAUAUUGCACAAUGGGCGGAAGCCUGAUGCAGCAACGCCGCGUGCGGGAUGACGGCCUUCGGGUUGUAAACCGCUGUCGCCUGUGACGAAGCGUGAGUGACGGUAAUGGGUAAAGAAGCACCGGCUAACUACGUG
RNAcentral lists this ribosomal RNA (468 nucleotides) under uncultured bacterium. Its description in RNAcentral is "partial 16S ribosomal RNA". It matches the Rfam family "Bacterial small subunit ribosomal RNA", at positions 28 to 507 of the family's 1533-position model. The record is from RNAcentral.